GGCUUUACUCGCGAUUUUCAUCUCAUCCACCAUUCUUUUUGCUCUGAUUUGGCCAUGGGAGUGUUCAAAAUUAAAUUCUGAGCGAAUAGAAGAAUUGCUUAUCUUUUUUUGACGGUCAGAGAUGGCUCCGGCGCAUCGGUGGGCGACAAUCAGCUCCCUUCUCCAGCAGGGGGCUGGCCGGUUUAGGUUCGAUAUGAAGUGAGAUAUUUAUACCCAUCUCCAUUAAAUCUAGACUGCCAAUCGAGUUUGAUCUCAACCGUCCGAUCGUGUUUAAAGAGGAAAUAAAUUUGGACCGUUCAUCACGAUUUGAUCUCGACCGUACGAUCGCAUUUAAAAAGAAAAUAAAUCUAGAUUGUUCAUCACAUUUAAUCUCGACCGUGCGAUCGUGCCUGAGGAGGGAACGGAUCCAGACCGUCCACGCGCACAAGAACACAUCCGAGCCAUCCUAUCGCGGAUACGUGGAUUGCCAGCGUGGUCUUCCGCGUGGCACCGAGUUAGCGUGCCUUGCCACACAGCGCGCUCCGGUUCGUCGAGGCUGCUGACUAGGCAGUCCUAUGUGGCGCACUUUUUUUAAUUGCGUUUUGACCCACCGUUUCUUAUUUUUCUUUCAAAAAUACCUCCUG
RNAcentral lists this long non-coding RNA (623 nucleotides) under Carica papaya (papaya). RNAcentral's name for it is "long non-coding RNA (CPAP_LNC003762)". The record is from RNAcentral. Lineage: Eukaryota; Viridiplantae; Streptophyta; Magnoliopsida; Brassicales; Caricaceae.